This is a long non-coding RNA of Esox lucius (northern pike), 626 nucleotides long. The record is from Ensembl. Lineage: Eukaryota; Metazoa; Chordata; Actinopteri; Esociformes; Esocidae.
CCCUCCGCUUCACCAUCAGCUGCCCCAGCAGCCUGGUCACCGCCGGCCGGUCCGGUUUCAGGAGGUCCCUGAUGACACCCCUGGCCACCACCACCAUCACCACCACCGCCACCUCCUCAACCGGCAUAACAAGAAGGUGGUGCUGGUGAAGAACAGCGACCCCUCUGUUCGGAGGACGAUUGUUCUUCAUCGCAAGACCCUCCGCAGCCUGGGUUUUUUUUUGGACGAGCUGUCAGACUUCAUGCAGUACCACAUCAGGAAGCUCUACACCCUGGAGGGACGCAAGAUCGACAGUGUUCAAGGUCUUCUUCAGUGCCCCAGUGUGUUGAUCUGUGUGGGUCGUGAGCCCUCCCACCCUGUCCUGCUGGAGAACUUCCGGAAGAACACCGACGACCGACUUCCACGUCUGAGUUCAAAGUCGCUUGGGCGCUCCAGCGUGGCCAGUAAAGGACAAGAGAGCAGCUUGGGACUUGAAACAAAACCAAGUGUAAUUCAUCCAAGAUCUGGAUCCAGCAAUCGAUCAACCAGGCACUCCAUAUCAUCAGACAAAUCACUCCCACCGAUCAAAUCUACAUCACCAGCACAAGUGGACCCAUUCCCUCAUUCAAGUGAAGGACUGAAGGAGG